GGUUAAGCGACUAAGCGUACACGGUGGAUGCCCUGGCAGUCAGAGGCGAUGAAGGGCGUGCUAAUCUGCGAUAAGCGCCGGUAAGGUGAUAUGAACCGUUAUAACCGGCGAUACCCGAAUGGGGAAACCCAGUGUGAUUCGUCACACUAUCAUUAACUGAAUCCAUAGGUUAAUGAGGCGAACCGGGGGAACUGAAACAUCUAAGUACCCCGAGGAAAAGAAAUCAACCGAGAUUCCCCCAGUAGCGGCGAGCGAACGGGGAGGAGCCCAGAGCCUGAAUCAGCAUGUGUGUUAGUGGAAGCGUCUGGAAAGGCGCGCGAUACAGGGUGACAGCCCCGUACACAAAAGCGCAUGUGCUGUGAGCUCGAUGAGUAGGGCGGGACACGUGGUAUCCUGUCUGAAUAUGGGGGGACCAUCCUCCAAGGCUAAAUACUCCUGACUGACCGAUAGUGAACCAGUACCGUGAGGGAAAGGCGAAAAGAACCCCGGCGAGGGGAGUGAAAAAGAACCUGAAACCGUGUACGUACAAGCAGUGGGAGCACAGGUUUACCUGUGUGACUGCGUACCUUUUGUAUAAUGGGUCAGCGACUUAUAUUCUGUAGCAAGGUUAACCGUAUAGGGGAGCCGGAGGGAAACCGAGUCUUAAUUGGGCGUUAAGUUGCAGGGUAUAGACCCGAAACCCGGUGAUCUAGCCAUGGGCAGGUUGAAGGUUGGGUAACACUAACUGGAGGACCGAACCGACUAAUGUUGAAAAAUUAGCGGAUGACCUGUGGCUGGGGGUGAAAGGCCAAUCAAACCGGGAGAUAGCUGGUUCUCCCCGAAAGCUAUUUAGGUAGCGCCUCGUGAAUUCAUCUCCGGGGGUAGAGCACUGUUUCGGCUAGGGGGCCAUCCCGGCUUACCAACCCGAUGCAAACUGCGAAUACCGGAGAAUGUUAUCACGGGAGACACACGGCGGGUGCUAACGUCCGUCGUGAAGAGGGAAACAACCCAGACCGCCAGCUAAGGUCCCAAAGUCAUGGUUAAGUGGGAAACGAUGUGGGAAGGCCCAGACAGCCAGGAUGUUGGCUUAGAAGCAGCCAUCAUUUAAAGAAAGCGUAAUAGCUCACUGGUCGAGUCGGCCUGCGCGGAAGAUGUAACGGGGCUAAACCAUGCACCGAAGCUGCGGCAGCGAACGUAUCACCCAAGACAACUUUACGGAGUUGACGAUUGACGGAGCGAAGCGACGUCAAAGCGUUCAUUAAAGUCGAGUUGGCUUAGGGAUACGUUCGUUGGGUAGGGGAGCGUUCUGUAAGCCUGUGAAGGUGUGUCGUGAGGCAUGCUGGAGGUAUCAGAAGUGCGAAUGCUGACAUAAGUAACGAUAAAGCGGGUGAAAAGCCCGCUCGCCGGAAGACCAAGGGUUCCUGUCCAACGUUAAUCGGGGCAGGGUGAGUCGACCCCUAAGGCGAGGCCGAAAGGCGUAGUCGAUGGGAAACGGGUUAAUAUUCCCGUACUUGGUGUUACUGCGAAGGGGGGACGGAGAAGGCUAUGUUGGCCGGGCGACGGUUGUCCCGGUUUAAGCGUGUAGGUGUGUGUUCCAGGUAAAUCCGGUUCACUUUAACACUGAGGCGUGACGACGAGGCACUACGGUGCUGAAGCAACAAAUGCCCUGCUUCCAGGAAAAAGCCUCUAAGCAUCAGGUAACAUCAAAUCGUACCCCAAACCGACACAGGUGGUCAGGUAGAGAAUACCAAGGCGCUUGAGAGAACUCGGGUGAAGGAACUAGGCAAAAUGGUGCCGUAACUUCGGGAGAAGGCACGCUGACACGUAGGUGAAGUGAUUUACUCAUGGAGCUGAAGUCAGUCGAAGAUACCAGCUGGCUGCAACUGUUUAUUAAAAACACAGCACUGUGCAAACACGAAAGUGGACGUAUACGGUGUGACGCCUGCCCGGUGCCGGAAGGUUAAUUGAUGGGGUCAGCGCAAGCGAAGCUCCUGAUCGAAGCCCCGGUAAACGGCGGCCGUAACUAUAACGGUCCUAAGGUAGCGAAAUUCCUUGUCGGGUAAGUUCCGACCUGCACGAAUGGCGUAAUGAUGGCCAGGCUGUCUCCACCCGAGACUCAGUGAAAUUGAACUCGCUGUGAAGAUGCAGUGUACCCGCGGCAAGACGGAAAGACCCCGUGAACCUUUACUAUAGCUUGACACUGAACAUUGAGCCUUGAUGUGUAGGAUAGGUGGGAGGCUUUGAAGCGUGGACGCCAGUCUGCGUGGAGCCGACCUUGAAAUACCACCCUUUAAUGUUUGAUGUUCUAACGUGGACCCGUUACCCGGGUUGCGGACAGUGUCUGGUGGGUAGUUUGACUGGGGCGGUCUCCUCCUAAAGAGUAACGGAGGAGCACGAAGGUUGGCUAAUCCUGGUCGGACAUCAGGAGGUUAGUGCAAUGGCAUAAGCCAGCUUGACUGCGAGCGUGACGGCGCGAGCAGGUGCGAAAGCAGGUCAUAGUGAUCCGGUGGUUCUGAAUGGAAGGGCCAUCGCUCAACGGAUAAAAGGUACUCCGGGGAUAACAGGCUGAUACCGCCCAAGAGUUCAUAUCGACGGCGGUGUUUGGCACCUCGAUGUCGGCUCAUCACAUCCUGGGGCUGAAGUAGGUCCCAAGGGUAUGGCUGUUCGCCAUUUAAAGUGGUACGCGAGCUGGGUUUAGAACGUCGUGAGACAGUUCGGUCCCUAUCUGCCGUGGGCGCUGGAGAACUGAGGGGGGCUGCUCCUAGUACGAGAGGACCGGAGUGGACGCAUCACUGGUGUUCGGGUUGUCAUGCCAAUGGCACUGCCCGGUAGCUAAAUGCGGAAGAGAUAAGUGCUGAAAGCAUCUAAGCACGAAACUUGCCCCGAGAUGAGUUCUCCCUGAGACUUAGAGUCUCCUGAAGGAACGUUGAAGACGACGACGUUGAUAGGCCGGGUGUGUAAGCGCAGCGAUGCGUUGAGCUAACCGGUACUAAUGAACCGUGAGGCUUAACCUU
This 2993-nucleotide ribosomal RNA is filed under the name Salmonella enterica subsp. enterica. Its description in RNAcentral is "23S ribosomal RNA". It matches the Rfam family "Bacterial large subunit ribosomal RNA". Lineage: Bacteria; Pseudomonadati; Pseudomonadota; Gammaproteobacteria; Enterobacterales; Enterobacteriaceae. The record is from RNAcentral.